CCUACGGGAGGCAGCAGUGGGGGAUAUUGCACAAUGGGGGAAACCCUGAUGCAGCGAUGCCGCGUGAAUGAAGACGGCCUUCGGGUUGGAAAGUUUUGUCGCAGGGGACGAAAAUGACGGUACCCUGCAAGAAAGCUCCGGCUAACUACGUGACAGCAGACGCGGAAACAAGGAGGGAGCAAGUGUUAAUCGGAAUUACUGGGCGUAAAGCGGUCGUAGGCGGUAGGUUAAGUCAAGGGUGAAAUCCCCGCGCUCAACGUGGGAACUGCCUUGGAAACUGGCAAACUGGAGUUUGUGAGAGGAUAGUGGAAUUCCAGGUGUAGGAGUGAAAUCCGUAGAUAUCUCGAGGAACAUCGGUGGCGAAGGCGACUAUCUGGCACAUAACUGACGCUGAGGAGCGAAAGCGUGGGUAGCAAACAGGAUUAGAUACCCGUGUAGUC
RNAcentral lists this ribosomal RNA (440 nucleotides) under uncultured bacterium. Its description in RNAcentral is "partial 16S ribosomal RNA". It matches the Rfam family "Bacterial small subunit ribosomal RNA", at positions 338 to 795 of the family's 1533-position model. The record is from RNAcentral.